UGCUGUCACUGUGCCAAGUGCCGCCAGC
This 28-nucleotide non-coding RNA is filed under the name Homo sapiens (human). Lineage: Eukaryota; Metazoa; Chordata; Mammalia; Primates; Hominidae. The record is from RNAcentral.